GUGUUCAUUUUGGCAGCGCAUGCACUAAAUGUGGAAUGAUACAGAGAAAAUUAGCAAGGCCCCUAUGCACUGAUGCCAUUUAAUAUUAGUAGGGAAAUAAUUCAAACUUUU
Ochotona curzoniae (black-lipped pika) is the source of this 111-nucleotide small nuclear RNA. The record is from RefSeq and is a predicted model, not a curated record. NCBI's taxonomy places the organism in Eukaryota, Metazoa, Chordata, Mammalia, Lagomorpha, Ochotonidae.